CCCGCCCCCCCUCCAUCUCCCACACCCACUAACCCAGUCUCCAGUAGUGUUUUUUAUUAAUAUUAAUUCAUCGUCUUCUUUUGUUUUCUGUUGCCGCCGCUGCUGCCUUCUGCUACUGCUCAGUGGUAUCACCCAUAUGAGAGAAGAAACAAGGAGAGGAGGAGGAAGAAAUGGAGAAUCAAAACCUGACGCCGUCCCACCAUUUGGAUGCAUCUCGGCCCUCUCUUGGCUUCCCUCUUGGCACGGCACUCCUCUUGAUCGUCAUAUUCGGCUUGAGUGGGGUAUUCUCUUGUUGCUACCAUUGGGAAAAGCUUCGAUCCCUCCGUCGUUCAUUCUCGCAAGACACCACCGAUGCCGACGAAGACACUCUCCAACAACCACCAUCCAAAUCUAAGCCCACUUCCAUGAGCUCCAAGCAGAAUCAAAACGAGAGCUUACCAGUACUGAUGCCCGGCGAUCAGAUCCCAAAAUUUAUAGCACUGCCAUGUCCGUGUGAACCGCCGCGAGAGGAGAUGGUCGCGAUCGUAGUGCAGAAACCACCACCUAUAGUGGUGCCUUUUUAUUAUAAUUAAAGCAGGAGGAAACUCAUUAGGUAUUGUAAUGGGGAUUCAAUUAAAAUUGCCUUUGUAAAUGAAGAGAGGUUCGUCGUUCCUUUGUAGGAAAAAAAAAAAAAAACAGAGGUUUUAUCAUAAGUCAUUGUUCAUACCAAAUUAACUAAAAAUGCAGAAUCCACUCUGUAAAUUAUCAAGCCCAUUUGUUUAUAUCAAAAAAUGUUUGAGGGAAAUCUAUAUAUAAACAUGUUCAUUCUGUUUCCAAGCCCAUUUGUCUUGUACUUUAUAUUUUCCCCCCUUUCCUAGGGCUUGGAAACAGAGAGCGAGCGAGCGAGCUUGUUGGGAGCUGUUGUGUCGUGGCAAGAUUGGGUAUUUUAUUUUAAGGCAGUUUAUGGAUGUCUGGUACAGCUAGAGCUCAGAGCCGCUGCUGGUAGCCAGUAAGAGAUGUAUAGAGUCUUUCUGAAUUCUGAGUGGUGCUUCUGUAAAUUUCUGGGAUGUCUAUUCCUGGAGUAGUGUAGUGUGUAAAAGUUGUUUGGAUGAUCCAAACAGCAAACUUAACAAGUGUAAUGACUUUCAUGAUUCAUGAACCAAAAAAACAAGAAGCUACAUAUCUAUUGUUUCAGUGAUCACCCCACUCUGGUGGUACAUUAUUGAUUAUACUCCACAAGUACACACAACGAAGAACUAAAACCCCUAUAGAGAGAAAAAGGUUGGUGCACAAACUAGGGGGCAACUGAGUACAGGCAUCCGAUUUGAAGGUCUAUAUGGUGGCCCCAAGACUGAAGUGUUUACAUGUAUAUUCUCCUACACUUGAUUCAAUUUCCAUUCAAUCUGUAACAAAAAUGUAGGGGAUGGGAUUCAAAUUGUGAGUGCUGUUUCCACUCCAGAGUUUGUGCCAAUUUCUCUCUUUCUCAAAUGGAUCAAAAGAAGCAGCAGUAGUGACGGGUGCUGCAACCCAAUAAGAGGGUUAAUGAGCAUUUCACUCGUGUCAUACAGAUCAUGUAUAAAUGGGCAUUUGAUUAUGUGAUUAUUUGAAUAUAGUA
Molecule: non-coding RNA, 1594 nt
Organism: Nelumbo nucifera (sacred lotus)
Lineage: Eukaryota; Viridiplantae; Streptophyta; Magnoliopsida; Proteales; Nelumbonaceae
Source: RefSeq, a predicted model, not a curated record